AUAGGCUAAUUAAGGGCGUAUGGGGAAUGCCUAGGCUCUCAGAGGCGAUGAAGGACGUGAUAAGCUGCGAAAAGUUACGGGGAAUGGCACACACAUUUUGAUCCGUAAAUAUCCGAAUAGGGCAACCUGGUUAUUUGAAGAAUAAUCAUCCAUCUUGUAUGGAAGCAAACCCGGAGAACUGAAACAUCUAAGUACCCGGAGGAAGAGAAAACAAUAGUGAUUCCGCUAGUAGUGGCGAGCGAACGCGGAAUAGCCCAAACCUAUGUUGUUACGGCAAUGUAGGGGUUGUAGGACUACAAUAUUUGUUGCUUAAUGAAUUAGAAUCUGUUGGAAAUCAGAACCAUAGAGGGUGAUAGUCCCGUAUAAGUAAAGACAGUUAACGAUAGUAGUAUCCUGAGUAGUACGGGGCACGGGAAACCUUGUAUGAAUCCGGCGGGACCAUCCGCCAAGGCUAAAUACUCCUGAGAGACCGAUAGUGAACUAGUACCGUGAGGGAAAGGUGAAAAGAACCCUGAAUAAGGGAGUGAAAUAGAUCCUGAAACCAUACGCUUACAAGCGGUCGGAGCCCAUUAGGGUGACGGCGUGCCUUUUGCAUAAUGAGCCUACGAGUUAACGUUGCUAGCAAGGUUAAGUACUUAAGGUACGAAGCCGUAGCGAAAGCGAGUCUGAAUAGGGCGCUUUAGUUAGCAGUGUUAGACGCGAAACCGUGUGAUCUACCCAUGGGCAGGGUGAAGCUGUAGUAACAUACAGUGGAGGCCCGAACCCGUUGACGUUGAAAAGUCUUGGGAUGACCUGUGGGUAGGGGUGAAAGGCCAAUCAAACUCGGAAAUAGCUCGUACUCCCCGAAAUGCAUUUAGGUGCAGCGUUGAGUAAAAGUUUUAUAGAGGUAGAGCUACUGAUUGGAUGCGGGGGCUUCACCGCCUACCAAUUCCUGACAAACUCCGAAUGCUAUAAAAUAUACACAGCAGUGAGGGCAUGGGUGCUAAGGUCCAUGUCCGAGAGGGAAAGAACCCAGACCAUCAGCUAAGGUCCCAAAGUGUAUGCUAAGUUGAAUAAACGAGGUUUGACUGCCCAGACAGCUAGGAUGUUGGCUUGGAAGCAGCCAUUCAUUUAAAGAGUGCGUAACAGCUCACUAGUCGAGCGGUCGAGCAUGGAUAAUAAUCGGGCAUAAGCAUAUCACCGAAGCUAUGGCAUCGAAAGAUGGGUAGGGGAGCAUUGUAGCGACGUUGAAGGUAAACUGUAAGGUUUGCUGGAGUUUCUACAAAAGAAAAUGUAGGCAUAAGUAACGAUAAUGCGGGCGAGAAACCCGCACACCGAAAGACUAAGGUUUCCUCAGCUAUGCUAAUCAGCUGAGGGUUAGUCGGGACCUAACGCGAACCCGAAAGGGGUAGUGGAUGGACAACAGGUUAAUAUUCCUGUACCUGCUCUCACUAAAAGUGACGGAUUGCCCAGAUAUCUACGUGGUGACGGAAGUCCACGUUGAGCAUAGCCUUCGGGCGAAGCGAUGAUAAGUAAGCAGUUCCAAGAAAAGCGAGAGAAGCAGCCCGUACCGUAAACCGACACAGGUAGUUGGGAUGAGUAUUCUAAGGUGCUCGAGAGAUUCAUGGCUAAGGAACUAGGCAAAAUCGACCCGUAACUUCGGGAGAAGGGUCGCCACGUUUCGACGUGGCCGCAGUGAAAAGAUCCAGGCGACUGUUUAUCAAAAACACAGGACUCUGCUAAAUCGAAAGAUGACGUAUAGGGUCUGACACCUGCCCGGUGCCGGAAGGUUAAGUGGAGUUGUUAGCUUCGGCGAAGCAAUCAAAUGAAGCCCCGGUAAACGGCGGCCGUAACUAUAACGGUCCUAAGGUAGCGAAAUUCCUUGUCGGGUAAGUUCCGACCUGCACGAAUGGUGCAACGAUCUGGAUACUGUCUCGGCCAUGAGCUCGGUGAAAUUGUAGUAUCGGUGAAGAUGCCGAUUACCCGCUACGGGACGAAAAGACCCCGUGCACCUUUACUAUAGCUUCGUAUUGACCUUGGAUAAGUAAUGUGUAGGAUAGGUGGGAGACAUUGAAGCGGCGUCGCCAGGCGUUGUGGAGUCAUUGUUGAAAUACCACCCUUUGCUUAUCUAGGGCCUAAUCCCCAACGGGAGACAGUGCGUGGUGGGUAGUUUGACUGGGGUGGUCGCCUCCAAAAGAGUAACGGAGGCUUCUAA
Molecule: ribosomal RNA, 2194 nt
Filed under: marine metagenome
Description: bacterial LSU rRNA
Rfam family: Bacterial large subunit ribosomal RNA
Source: RNAcentral